RNAcentral lists this ribosomal RNA (194 nucleotides) under uncultured bacterium. Its description in RNAcentral is "partial 16S ribosomal RNA". It matches the Rfam family "Bacterial small subunit ribosomal RNA", at positions 339 to 526 of the family's 1533-position model. The record is from RNAcentral.
CUACGGGAGGCAGCAGUGGGGAAUUGUUCGCAAUGGGCGCAAGCCUGACGACGCAACGCCGCGUGGAGGAUGAAGGUCUUCGGAUUGUAAACUCCUGUUGCCAGGGACGAAUAGCUCCGACCUAACACGUCGGAGUAUGACGGUACCUGGUGAGGAAGCCCCGGCUAACUCUGUGCCAGCACCCGCGGUAAUAA